RNAcentral lists this ribosomal RNA (543 nucleotides) under Triticum aestivum (bread wheat). RNAcentral's name for it is "partial small subunit ribosomal RNA". Lineage: Eukaryota; Viridiplantae; Streptophyta; Magnoliopsida; Poales; Poaceae. The record is from RNAcentral.
AUGACAAGAUGCAACACGCAAGCAAAUGACAAGGCAACACCAGCGAAUAACUGGACGACACCUGGCGCAACGGUCUCGGGGCGUCACAUUAGCGGUCUUGCCGCCUUUCCCAUGUUGACGCUUGUAAUAAGGGUUAGGGCAACUAGGAGCCCAAUGAUCAGGAUCUCCGCACACAUGACAAAUUCCUUUCUUGUCAGUCUUCUUCUUGAAGUUGGUGUGCUGCGAAGCAUUGUUCUUCCCAUCAAACUUCCCUUUACCAUCAAACUUGCCCUUGUUCUUGAACUUGUGGGGCUGAAAGUUUUUCUUCUGUACCAGAUUGGCAGUAGAACCUCCCUCAAUACCUCGAGCACGUAUGUCUUUUGCUCUCGCCUUUUCUUCCACAUCAAGAGUACCAAUGAGAUCCGUGUCAGGACCCCGACUCGAUGUCACAUUGAUCUAGCCGGUAACACCUCAUAUCACUUUGCGGCCUCACGCACGGUAUCCCCACGGGUGUCGCCUUACCUUUGCCCGGGACCGUUUGCGCCUUUUGGCUCACGUAUAUGA